Long non-coding RNA from Calidris pugnax (ruff), 1132 nucleotides. RefSeq lists it as uncharacterized. The transcript has 3 exons. The record is from RefSeq and is a predicted model, not a curated record. NCBI's taxonomy places the organism in Eukaryota, Metazoa, Chordata, Aves, Charadriiformes, Scolopacidae.
UGGGGAAGUAACAUUAACUUAAACGGCACGGCAGCAGCAGCAGCAGAAGGGAAAGGGGAGCGCUGAGAUGGAGGAGAGGAUCUGGAGGAGGAGCAGUGGGUAAAUGUCAAGCAACAGCUUUUUAAAACGUACUUCAUGGCAAAAUGUUAGCUGGAAAAGAGAUGAGGCUGCAAGUUGAUUAUUCUCCCCUGACUAUGAUUCACUGCUAAUGAUGACAGUACUCUCUGAGUUGAAGGAAGAGUACUACCCCAAGGACCACAGAGUCAAAAUAGAAGAUCAAUGCUGAAGAAGUCAGUUUCCUUAUCUCCCUUAGCGAAUGGCUGUGGCACUGAAGUCUGCUGUGUAGAGUCAUUUAUCUUUUCCCUGUGGAGUCCCAGAGAGUUCAGAUACCCCAGUUAAAACCAUUGACUUUGCAAUUUAUGGUAAGUCAUCAACAAGGGAAAGAGACAGACUUGGAGCUGGUUAAAACACAUUCUGAAGAAUUACCGGGAUUUGCCGGGCAAAGACAAGCAAAGCUUUUUUCUCUCGCACACUGUCCACAUACCUCUGCGACUGAUUUGUUUCCAGUUUCCAGCGCCUGUUUGCACAGACCCGACCAUCGCUCCCCCUGCCCUUCUCCGCUUCCUGUCUGAGAACAAACCGAGACAGUCAGCACAACCAAUCUCACGUCCUUUCCUAUGAAAACCACUGAACACAGUUUGUCCCGCCAGGGAAAUCGGUGCUUUAAGUAGGCGAAUAAUCCACUGACUCCGUAGGAAUAUCUCUGGAUGGAUUUUUUGAAGCGUGCUCUGGGUGGUUGGAGCUACAGGAGGAGGCUUGCACUCUCUUGCAGGCUGCAGGGAGCUCCGGGGGGGUGCUGCUGGCCCCAGCAAAGCUCUUUGGGGAGCCCUGCCGUGCUGGGGCAGCGAGCUCCUGCCCCCCCCAGCCUUCGAUCCGGCCAUUCCUCGCAUUACGCAUCGCUGGGAAUACACUCAGAAACUACAGAUGAGGUCACUCCCAAGAGUCUGCUUAGGUAUUUGGGGCCCUUGACACUGAGAGGAGCUAAAAUCUUAGACUCUAUGAAUGGUUUUUAAAGGGAAAGUGGAACUCUUUUUAUAGCGCGCUAGCCGUUUGUUAAUCUUGAAUUGGUAAA